CUUUUCUGCUCAGAAGACCCCUCUCCAUAUGUAGAAAGAGUUGUUUUUCUUUAUCUUCUCUUCUGCCUAUUAAACCUCCGUUCCUAAACUCCUGGUGUGUGUCUGGUCCUAAAUUUCCCUGGCAUGAGACGACGAACCCUAGGGUAUGUAACCCAGACAACGUAGCCACUUCAGAAUUAUUAUGUUUUAAAAAUCACUUUUGUUGGGUUGUUUAUAGCUGGUGAAUAGAAAUGGAAUUGACUUUUGUAUAUUGAUCUUCUUCUACUCUGCAAUCAUACUGAACUAGUUUAUGAGUUCAAUUAAUUUUUAAUGGAUUCUUUAGGAUUUUCUGUACACAGCAUUAUGUCAUCUGCAAACAGAGUUAUAUUUCUCUCUUCCUGUGGUGUUAUUUUAUAUAUAUAUAGGUUUUUAUCCGUGGUUCCUGGCCCAUAGCCUUUUAUAGUCUCUUGUUAUAAUGUUGGGUGUGUUAGGCCUCAGGAAACAGAAUCUCUUGCCUGCCCUCCUUUCACCUGUCCCAAGGCAGGACUCUAAUCUUCCCAACUUUCUGAUUGUGGGUCUUAUGACCCUCCUCUGAGAGGAUCCUGCCUCAUACCCUGGGGGAAGGAAUGCUGACUUCCUGAAGCUUCCAUAGAAACUCAAGAUAAUUGGGUUCAGGAGUUUCCAAAUAGCUGAAAAUGUGGAGGUUCCUGGAGGGCGGUGCCCCAGGGAGGGCAUGGGAUCCCUUAGCCCGUUCCCCCACACCUUGCCCUAUGUACCUCUUCAUCUGUAUGCUUUGUAAUAUCCUUUAUAAUAAGCUGAUAAAUGUGUUUCCUGAGUUCUGUGAGCUGCUCCAGCAAAUUAAUUAAACCCAAAGAGGAGGUUGUGGGAACCCCGACCCAAACCCAGUGGUCAGAAGUUCUGGAGGCCCAGGUUUGUGGUUGAUGUCUGUGGAGCAAGGGUAGUCUUGGGGACAGAGUAUUUAACCAGUGGAAUCUGAUGCUAUCUCCAGAUAGUGUCAGACUUGAAUUGGAGGACAACCAGCUGGUGACCCCUGCUUGAUAGUAGGGAGAAACUCCUAAAAUUUUGUCACAGAAGUCUUCUUCUAUAUAGAUGAUUAUUGUUGUGGUGUAAGAGUAGAGGAAAAAUGCGGUUUGAGAGAGUUUUUCCUGACAUAAUUUGUGUCAGUGAAUUGGGAUUUGCUGGAAAGGCCCUGACCACAGAAACGUGGUUUGGGAAAAGAAAGAAAAAAAAGGGUGGGCGGGGGGUGGGGCAGUGGUGAGAAACCUUUGAUUCCUGGGUGGCCACGUGGUCACCCAUGUAUGAGGCGGCAGCUGUGUUGAGAGUGUAAACCGAAAAUAAAAUUCUAAGCCCCGUGACCGACUGAAUGGGCCUACUCCCUCUUGGCUAAGGAGAUCACACCUAAAACCUGAAAAACUAGUUUAGGCCAUGACAGGAAUGAGGGUGCUGAUGUUAGAGUAGGCAGCUAGGCAGACAUGAGAAGGGCAGGAGAGGAGGUUUCCCCUGCCCAAUUGCCAGCAAUGUUAGGCAACCAUCAGGUGAAGGUGGUUGUUAAACUGCCUAAAAUAAUAAUUGGUAGUCUCCCAAUAGAUGAAAAACACCUGAAGCUGGUGAUCAGCAGCUUCCCAAAAAGAUCUGAGGAUUUGGGCAAGCAGGCUUAAUCAUGCACACUAAGGGGCAAAAUGGCAGAGUUUCACUGGUGUAUGACCUUCUUCUAGGAACAUUUGACUGGUGUGGGGAAAAAAUGCCUCAGAUGAGCACAUCGCACAACUUCAGUAAACACACUGCUCAUGUGGCCCCUCUCAAGUGCUGACAGGCCACUGUGUGUUUGGACAGCCCCCGCAAGGAAAGAAUCAAGGGAGAGGAAACACAAACCCUGGAACCAUGCCAGUGUAUAAAACCCCUAUUUGGCCAGGAGUGGUGGCUCACACCUGUAAUCCCAGCACUUUGGGAGGCUGAAGUGGGUGGAUCACAAGGUCAAGAGAUCGAGACCAUCCUGGCCAACAUGGUGAAACCCCAUCUGUACUAAAAAUAUAUAAGUUAGCUGGGCCUGGUGGCAUGCGCCUGUAGUCCCAGCUACUCGGGAGGCUGAGGCAGGAGAAUUGCUUGAACCUGAGAGGCAGAGGUGGCAGUGAGCCAAGAUUGCACCACUGCACUCCAGCCUGGUGACAGAGCGAGACUCCAUCUCAAAAAAAAAAAGAAAAGAAAAUUCAAGGAUUGGAUGGGGCACUUAGAUCUCUCAAGUCACCUGCUUGGCCUUCUUCCAAGUGUAAUUUGCUUCCUUUUGUUCUUGCUCUAAAGCUUUUUAAUAAACUCUCACUCCUGCCCUAAACUUGCCUUAUUCUCUCACUCUGCCUUAUGCCCCUUUGCUGAAUUCUUUCCUUUGAGGAAGCAAGAAUCAAGUUUGCUGCAGACCCAUCGGAUUCUUACUGCCAAUACAGACAUGCCUCAUUAUACUCUCCUCCCUUUAGAAUUCAGGCACAAUUGACCAGCAUUAACAUUAAAACAGAGAUCUUAAGACUGUCAAAACAGACAGUUUGUAGCAAUAAGAUACCAAAGUUCAAACCAGUGCUAAUAUAGCAUCACAUGACAGCAGGACCUGAAGAAAAUCCAAAAUAUAUUUCUUUGACAUAUUUUGAAAUGACCCUCAAAGCCUCUUUGUGUGUGGGGAAAUUUUGCGUAUGUAAAGAGUCUCUAUUAACAUAGCUAGAGCUUUCCCAUUCCAGGUGCUCCCAAUCCUGAAGAGACUCACUGAAAGUCUAGCAUCUUUUAAAGGUCUACAUAGGAAACAUUUGCCAUCUAUUAUCUCUAAGGUCGCUACCUAUGAGACUUCAUCUAUAUAAUAGGAACCUUGGUCUCCACAACCCCUUAUCUUAACCUAGACACUUCUUUCUAUUGAGUCCAGGUUUUUAGGUAAUAACUCUUUCAACUAAUUGCCAAUCAGAAAAUCUUUGAAUCCAUCUAUAACCUGAAAGCCCCCUUCCCCACUUCUCCAGCUUCAAGUUGUCCUGCCUUUCAAGACAGAAUUAAGGCAUGUAUAUGAGGUAUCAGUUGAUGUCUUAUGUCCCCCUAAAUUGUAUAAAAUCCAGCCAUAACUCAACCACCUUGGGCACAUGUUCUCAGGACCUCUUGAGACUUUGCCUUGGGCCAUGGCCACUCAUAUUUGGCUCAGAAUAUUAAAAAUUUUAGAGUUUGUCUUUUUUCAUCAAUAAGGUAAAUGUUUCCAGUGGAAUUUAAAGAUGUAUCCAACUCCCAGGGAGUUGGGUCACUGGAGGCAUAAGGAAAUGCAAACUAAUAAGAAAAAAAUAAAAUAUUCAAUCUCUUGGCUACUGUUAUCUAUAAUAGCUAAAAUGAUAGUAAAAGAGGCUGGGCACGAUGGCUCACACCUGUAAUCCCAGCCCUUUGGGAGGCCGAGGCGGGCAGAUCAUGAGAUCAGGAGAUUGAGACCAUGCUGGCUAACAGGGUGAAACCCCGUCUCCACUAAAAAAUACAAAAAAAAAAAAAAAAAAAAAUUAGCCAGGCGUAGUGGCGGGUGGCUGUGGUCCCAGCUACUCAGGAGGCUGAGGAAGGAGAAUGGAAUGAACCUGGGAGGCGGAGCUUGCAGUGAGCUGAGAUCGCGCCAUUGCACUCCGGCCUGGGCAACAGAGUGAGACUCUGUCUCAAAAAAAAAGAAAGUAAAAGAGAGUGUGAAGUUGGGUCUUGAGGCUGGACCAAGCUCAGAUGUAGGUCUGAGCUCAGGCCACUAGCCUCAAUGCUACCCACAAGUGGGAACAUUAUGCCAGGACAACAAAAAGUACCUCUAAGAACUGUGGUUACCAAGAAGGUAUUCAACGUGGGAGAAGGACGAAACCAAGUAACGACUGAAGCCAGAGGGAAUACUGUGAAGGAAUUGUUUCAUUUUGUGGAUUGGUAUCAUCAGCUUCCUAAGGCAUCUUUACAAAAAUGGAUUAUGAGAAUAACUAAUUCAGGAGCAGUAUCUUUGGUUUUAAAUGCUGAGAGUGGAAGAGCAUGUUUGGGUUGAUGCAGGACCCAUAGCUCACUAUUGAACAGUCACAGAUGGGUAUAUAUGAUCUGGACACACAGGAGGUUAUGCCUGAGGGAACAGCCAGCCUGGUGCACUGGAUAAAAGCCACUGUGAGGUCUGUUUACCCUGGGAAGGGAAACUGUUUAACUUCACCUAUAAAGGCCAAUGGACACCCCAGAUGAGGCAGCUGAUUCACUUCAUAUGCAAGCCAUGUGCAAUUGACUCUAUGACCUCAGGGAUAUUCACCCACUGAAUAUGUCUGCUACCCAGGUCAUAGAUAAUUAAUUUUAUAAUUUUUUAUACAGACAGUGUCUCAUCAUCUUGCCCAGGCUGGUCUCAAACUCCUGGGCUCAAGCCAUCCUCCCUGGCUCAAGACAUCCUCCCACCACAGCCUCUCAAAGUGCUGGGAUUACAGGUAUGACCCACCAUGCCCAGCCCUAUUUUUAAUUUUAAUUUUGUUUCUUUUUUUUUUUUUUUGGAGACAGAGUCUCGCUUUGAUGCCCAGGCUAGAGUGCAGUGGUGCGAGCUCGGCUUACUGCAACCUCCAUCUCCUGGGUUCAAGCGAUUCUUCUGCCUCAGCCUCCUGAGUAGCUGGGACUACAGGUUCAUGCUGCCACACCCAACUAAUUUUUGGUAUUUUAGUAGAGACAGGGUUUCACUGUUGUUGCCCAGGCUGGUCUCGAACUCCUGAGCUCAGGCAAUCCACCUGCCUUGGCCUCCCAAAUUGCUAGGAUUACAGGCAUGAGCCACCGCGCCUGGCCAAUUUUGUUUCUUUUAAAGACAGAGUUCUCACUAUGUUACCUAGGCUGGUCUCAAACUUCUGGCCUGAAGUGAUCCUGCCCCCUCAGCUUCCCAAAGCAUUGGGAUUACAGGCAUGAACCACCAAGCCUAGCCUAUUCUCUCUACUCUUAGGAAUGGAUCCAAAAUUUUCCAUAAUAAAAAGUUAAAAUGUUAACACUGCUCAAUGAAAGUUAAUGGCUUAGUGACUUGCAUUUCUUUCUUCUUUCUGUCAUCUUCAAUGACACUUCCUAUGUUGUUUUACACUGUUCACAGAGUCUGCCUCUCUUUCUCCUGAAGUGUCCUGGUGGGCAGGAACUGUGUCCUGUUCACAGUCUUAUCUCUGCAACAACGCCACUCACUCCAACAAAUACAUGAUGAUGUAAAAUACAUGUCCUGGGGACAUGAUGGUGUGUAAAAGCAGAUAUGGUUGCCAAAUCAUUGAACUCAGAGUUCAGGGGAACCCUCAAUCAUUAAUUAAAUAGUUGUGCCCGUAAAUGUACAAUUGCUCCUAAGUGUUGCAUAGGAGGAUAUGUAGAGUUAACAGGUGGGGACUCGAUUAGUUAGGCAGCUCAGGGAGGCCUCCCUUAGAAAGUAACAAUCAGCCUGAGGGAUAAGAAGCUUCAGUCUGAAGGAUGAGAAGGAAUUAACCUUGUUUAUCAGUUAGGAUGCUUUUGGCUUCAAGUAUUGAAAACCGUAACUUAGUUGACUCAACAAUAAGGAAAAUGGAUCAUCCCAUAUAAGAUGCCCAGAAAUAAAGAAACUUCAACAUUGGACAACUCAGUAGUUCAACAAUGUCAUCAAGAACACAGGUCCCUUGGGAGGCUGAGGUGGGAGGAUUGCUUAAGGCAAGGAGCUUCAGACCAGCCUGGACAAUGUAGCAAGACCUCAUCUCUACAAAUAUUUUAAAAAUUAGCCAGGCAUGGUGGCAUGUGCCUAUAGUCCCAGCUAGUUGAGAGGCUGAGGUGAGAGGAUCACUUUACCCAGGAGUUUGAGGCAGCACUGAGCUAUGAUUGCAUUACUGCACUCCAGCAUGGUUGACAGAGCAAGAUCUUGUCAAUAAUUAAAAUAAACAAACAACAACAACGACAAAAACCCACGUCCCCUUCAUCUUCCUCUUGCUAUUGUCAGUGUUGGCUCAUUUCCCCUCAUAUUGCAAAAAUGGCUUUCACAGUUCCAGAUGUUAUGUGCAGAGACAAACGUGACCAACAGAAGAGGAGCCACUACUCCCUGUGCAUCUACAUUUAGCAGAAAAUCUUCCCAUGAAGUCUUGAGACAGCAUCCCAAGUCUUAUUGGCUAGAAUCACAUGAUGCCUAGUCCAAUCGAUGGCAAGGGUAAUGGAAUCAUCCUAUUUGCUUAGACCAAUCAAACAUGAUUUACUCCCUGGAGCUAGAAUUGAGCCUUCAGCCUCUUUUCAUACAGAAAAGAAUGGAUUCCUGAACAAAACUGGGCUGUACCAGAAAGGAAAAUGGGUGGUGGAGGAAUAAAUUUGGGGUAGGAACCAAUGUUGUUUGCUAUGCUUGACAAAGAGGAAUGUGAAAGAGGUUUUCCAGCAGUGGGACUAGCAUGUGCAAAGGCUCUGAAUUGGGAAGGGAUACAAGAAAUGAGUGUGGCUGAAACAUGGAGUGCCAGGGGAAGGGAGCACAGCAUAAGAUGGGGAGAGCUUGCAAGGCCCAGUGAGUCUUG
RNAcentral lists this long non-coding RNA (6485 nucleotides) under Homo sapiens (human). RNAcentral describes it as "HSALNT0340422". The record is from RNAcentral. Lineage: Eukaryota; Metazoa; Chordata; Mammalia; Primates; Hominidae.